Molecule: long non-coding RNA, 835 nt
Organism: Neopelma chrysocephalum (saffron-crested tyrant-manakin)
Lineage: Eukaryota; Metazoa; Chordata; Aves; Passeriformes; Pipridae
Exons: 3
Source: RefSeq, a predicted model, not a curated record
AGCUGUGCAAAAAAAUCAAUAUCACUCUUCAAAUCAUUAAUUUGUGCAUAUGAGUUACCACAGGCAAAUCAAAAUGCCGUACUCACCGGCCUGACAGUUAUAACCAGCAUAACCAGGCUUGCAUUUACAAGUAUUGGGUGCCACACACUCCAUAUUUUUGCCACAUGUUUGUCUACAUCUUGCUGAAAGGCAAUGAAGAAAACAAAGGGAAUAAGGAAAAUAAAAGUCGCAUUUCACACAACUGUGUUUUGCCUAACAUAAUGCAAAAAUCACAGAGAAUCCAUUAUGCCACUGUCUGUAAAUGGGAGUCUAAGACACAUCAGAAAAAUAUUUCUAAGUGCAUCCAUACAACUAAAAGCCUGUAGGCUAUGCCAAUAUUAAUAAUAAAAGUGAAAAAUUCAAUACACCGUACUUUUCACUGAUUAUACAGUAACAAUGUACUUUAAAGUUAUAAAGACAUCUCAAGAUUCUUUUCUUCAAGGCAUUUAAGUUCACUUAUUUGUAAUACCUCUGCAAGUGAAGCCAUCUCCAUAAUAACCAUAAGGACAACGACCACACGUGAUGCUUCCAUCCUGACUUGGCUCACAGUGUACACCAGGAAAACAGGGUGAUACAGCAUGGCUCCCUGAAGAUGCAGUCAUCACAGUAUGUACUGAAGAACUCGCUUCCAUGUCAGCAAGGUGACCACUGAUGGUCCUGAGAGUGUGAGCAAUGUUUCCAGUAACAGCAGAUUAUUUGGGCAUGGACCACAAUAGUAAGAACCAAAAGUAUUGAAGCAAAAUACUCCAGGGAAGCAAGGACUGGAUACACAUUCAUCUACAUCCUCUUGACAAUG